GAGGGCAAGUCUGGGCCAGCAGCCGCGGUAAUUCCAGCUCCAAUAGCGUAUAUUAAAGUUGUUGCAGUUAAAAAGCUCGUAGUUGAAUUUCGGGGUUAGUAGGUUGGCCAUGCCUCAGGUAUGUACUGAUCUUACUGAUUCCUCCUUCCUGAUGAACCGUAAUGCCAUUAAUUUGGUGUUGCGGGGAAACUGGACUGUUACUUUGAAAAAAUUAGAGUGUUUAAAGCAGGCUAACGCUUGAAUACAUUAGCAUGGAAUAAUGAAAUAGGACGUUCGAUCCUAUUUUGUUGGUUUCUAGGAUUGACGUAAUGAUUAAUAGGGAUAGUUGGGGGCAUUAGUAUUCAAUUGUCAGAGGUGAAAUUCUUGGAUUUAUUGAAGACUAAUUACUGCGAAAGCAUUUGCCAAGGAUGUUUUCUUUAAUCAAGAACGAAAGUUAGGGGAUCGAAGACGAUCAGAGACGGUAGUAGUCUUAACCAUAAACUAUGCCGACCAGGGAUCGGAUGAUGUUAAUUUUCUAAUGACUCAUUCGGCGCCUUACGGGAAAC
RNAcentral lists this ribosomal RNA (545 nucleotides) under uncultured Glomus. RNAcentral's name for it is "SSU rRNA". It matches the Rfam family "Eukaryotic small subunit ribosomal RNA", at positions 551 to 1098 of the family's 1831-position model. Lineage: Eukaryota; Fungi; Glomeromycota; Glomeromycetes; Glomerales; Glomeraceae. The record is from RNAcentral.